GCCUAACACAUGCAAGUCGAGCGGCAGCGGGUUUAGUAGCAAUACUAGAUGCCGGCGAGCGGCGGACGGGUGAGUAAUACGUAAGAACUUGCCGUAUAGAUGGGGACAACCAAGGGAAACUUUGGCUAAUACCGAAUACACUCGAGAGAGGAAAGGUGCCUAGCAAUAGGUGUCGCUAUAUGAGAGGCUCUCGUCCGAUUAGCUAGUUGGUGGGGUAAGAGCUCACCAAGGCGAUGAUCGGUAACUGGUCUGAGAGGACGACAAGUCACACUGGGACUGAGACACGGCCCAGACUCCUACGGGAGGCAGCAGUGGGGAAUAUUGGACAAUGGGGGAAACCCUGAUCCAGCGAUGCCGCGUGGGUGAAGAAGGCCUUCGGGUUGUAAAGCCCUUUAAGCUGGGAAGAAGCUAGUGAUGCGAAUACCAUCAUUAGUUGGCGGUACCGGCAGAAUAAGCGCCGGCAAACUCCGUGCCAGCCGCCGCGGUAA
RNAcentral lists this ribosomal RNA (488 nucleotides) under uncultured bacterium. Its description in RNAcentral is "partial 16S ribosomal RNA". It matches the Rfam family "Bacterial small subunit ribosomal RNA", at positions 46 to 523 of the family's 1533-position model. The record is from RNAcentral.